CCGGCUGAAAAUAUCGCGGUCGAACACACACGUGGUCGAAACGGCGUCAGUGAGAGUGACAGUGACAGUGACCGUCGUUUGUUCUAAUACUGUACAAAGUAGAGGGCAAUUAAGAAAUAAAAAAUUGUGGAAAUGCCUAAAUCCAAAUAGAUUCCCAUUCGCAAUAGAAACGUUUGUUACUGAUUUGUGUUUGGCAUGGAAAUUUUAAUAUGUAUAUAAUAUUCUAAGGCAAAAUUGAGUUCCAGGAAGCCAAAGCCAAUAAGUAUUGCACGCGAAAAAACAAAGUGAAUCACUAAAACAUGACAAUUCGAAGAUCUUUACACUGCAUGAACCACAUGAAUGGACUCUAUUCUUCUGUUUUGUUUUUUUAAUUAAUUCCAUACAUAUAUAUGUAUGUAUAUAUAUAUACAUAUGUACACAGACAUAUACAUAUGUUAAUUUAUACAAUACAUAAAUUCACUGGCAUUAUGUUUGUUACGUUCGUGCUGUGGCAUUGACUAAAACAGCGGUCAAUUCCUUUUUUUGGUUUGCUUCUGUUGUGUAUCCAUUGAAUUCGUACAAUGUAAAGUGUUUUGUAUUAAUUUGCGUUUAUUAAAAUUGAAAGAGGGCUCACAUUGUAAUGUUUGAGUUGAUUGACAAAGUUCAAAAUCGUGUUGAUGCCGGUUAAGGAACAUCUUUCAGCAAGACAAAAAAAAAGUUAUUUGAAAAAAAAACAUCAGCUGAUCACAGGCAAGCAAAAGGUUUUUUAAUAUAAGACCAAGGAGCAAAUACAACUUCCUAAAAACAAAAUGGAGCUGUUUGCUUAUAUAAUACCUUCAAUUUUCCAAUGGCUAUGCAUGUAUGGUACAUCUUCGGCCAAUCUCCUGUACGGGCUGCAUUCCGAUGAGCUCAAGUCGGGCACACUGAUAGUUCCGAAACGAGUCAAUGAAAACGGAGAAUUUCUCACCUACGAUUUGUCAUAUCGUCACGAUCAAAAUUAUCGGCACGAACAUAGUCGGAGGCGUCGCAACAUAGCUAAAAACUUCAAUAAAGUACAUUAUAAACUGGAUGUAGCUAAUGAAACGAUACAUCUUGAUUUAGAACCGCACAGUUAUUUUAUGGCUCCGAGUCUGGUAAUCGAGAGACACCGGCGAGAUAUCCGUACUCGUAAGACAACAAUAGGAAAUGCAGACUGUCACUUUCACGGAAAAGUGCGUGGACAUGAAGAGUCAAAUGUGGCCAUAUCGACCUGCGAAGGGUUGGUUGGCCAUAUAAAAACAAAAAAUCACGAGUACUAUAUUGAACCCUCGAAGAACGAUCGCGCUGACACAGUUAAGGGACAUCCGCACGUGCUAUUUCACAGAUCGUCAUUAAAACUGAAAAGAAAGAAUCGCAAAUCAAACCGCAAGCAUAGGGAUGAGUUGGUAAGCACUUGCGGCACUAAGGAACCAAAAAGAUAUUCUGGGACACGUCUGGAAUGGCAAGCGCAGGGCAAGGUUAAAAUACAAGGUGGUAGAAAAAUACGUCAAGGAAAUCCUCACCAUGGAAACCGUCGCCGACAUCAGCACCAUCUCUAUCCCUACAAGGAAUUGAAUUCAUUUGGAAGAACGCAAAAGAGACAACUGAAAAAAUAUCAACAGGAUAUCGACCAGCAGACAAAAUUUAAAUACGAAACUCACCUAAAGGAGGAAUUCAGACCCACCCACCACAUCAGUUCCGACUUGAGUUUACAAAGUGGUAGUGAAAUUUCAAGCCAUGUGAAGAGCAUACAUGACAAUGGCAAAAGUGUUAUGAGCAGAAAAAGCGACAGAAAACGCGCGAAACGUUCAAUUAGCAGCCCACGUCAUGUAGAGGCGUUGAUUGUUGCCGAUGCGACGAUGGUAGCAUUCCAUAGCAAACUGGAGACAUAUCUACUUACCAUAAUGAAUAUGGUGUCAGCACUCUACAAGGAUCCCAGCAUUGGUAAUUUAAUUGAAAUUGUUGUCGUCAAAAUGAUUCUUCUCGAUGAGCGCGAAGCACACCCGGAUCUUAAUCUGACACAAAAUGCGCAAAAAAAUUUGGAUACAUUUUGUAGGUGGCAGCACAAUCUUAAGAAGGACAAUGACAAAGAUCAUCAUGAUGUUGCAAUUCUUAUCACUCGUACAAACAUUUGCGGCAACAAUUGCAUGACACUUGGCUUAGCCAAUGUGGGUGGCAUGUGUAAGCCGAAACAGUCAUGCAGUGUUAACGAAGAUAACGGCAUUAUGCUGUCUCAUACGAUAGCGCACGAGUUGGGCCACAAUUUCGGAAUGUUUCACGAUACGGCGAAAAUCGGCUGUCAUCCUCGAAUAGGAUCCAUCGUUCACAUAAUGACGCCGACGUUUGGUGCCGAUACCUUACAAGUUUGCUGGUCGAAUUGCAGCCGAAAAUAUAUAACACAAUUUCUGGAUCAAGGUCUCGGCGAUUGCUUAGAUGAUGCGCCACCGACGAGAGAAAAAUACGCUUACCCAGCUUUGCCUCCAGGCGUACUUUUCGACGUCGAAACACAAUGUCGUUUGCAGUUCAACUUAACCGAGGCGGACAUCAACGCGUCCUCAUGCACUUCUAUGGAUGAAAUUUGUUCAACUUUAUGGUGUAGAGUAAAUGGCGAGUGUGUGACUAACAUGCGUCCAACGGCGCCAGGUACUAAUUGCGGCGUUGGAAAGGGUUGCCAGAAUGGAAAAUGUGUACCCAAUGUGGCAGCUUCCCCUGUCAAUGGUAGCUGGGGCGCUUGGUCUGAGUGGAGUGAGUGUUCCAGAACUUGUGGAGGGGGAGUGUCAACGCAAAAGCGUGAAUGUAAUAAUCCGGUUCCGGCGAACGGUGGACUUUUCUGCAUUGGUGAGAGAAAAAGAUAUAAAAUCUGUAACUUUCAAUCUUGCCCACCGAAUGAAGUUAGUUUUCGUGCGAAGCAAUGUUCCAAAUAUGACAAUGUUUGCUACCAAGGCGGUACCUACAAAUGGCUACCGUAUUUCGAUAAUAAGAACCCUUGCAAGCUGUUAUGCACAGAUUUUGACGAUACAAUUAUAGCCAAUUGGGGAGAAACGGUACAGGAUGGAACUAAUUGUGGUGUUGGAACCAAUAAUAUGUGCAUCGAUGGAAUUUGCAAGUCGGAUGUGACUGGGUUGUAGAUUCCGACAAGCAAGAGGAUAAGUGCGGAGUGUGUGGAGGCAAAGACGAUAAAUGCAAAUUUAUAAAAGAACAGUUUGAGGAAAGCCUAAAUGUUUCCGAUGGGUAUGUAGAGGUCGUAACUAUUCCGGCGAAAUCGAGGCAAAUCAUUAUUAAAGAAAU
Molecule: unclassified non-coding RNA, 3285 nt
Filed under: Ceratitis capitata (Mediterranean fruit fly)
Lineage: Eukaryota; Metazoa; Arthropoda; Insecta; Diptera; Tephritidae
Description: a disintegrin and metalloproteinase with thrombospondin motifs 6, transcript variant X10
Source: RNAcentral